GCCAGACUCCUACGGGAGGCAGCAGUGGGGAAUAUUGCACAAUGGGGGAAACCCUGAUGCAGCGACGCCGCGUGAGUGAAGAAGUAUUUCGGUAUGUAAAGCUCUAUCAGCAGGGAAGAAAAUGACGGUACCUAAUUAAGAAGCCCCGGCUAACUACGUGCCAGCAGCCGCGGUAAUACGUAGGGGGCAAGCGUUAUCCGGAUUUACUGGGUGUAAAGGGAGCGUAGACGGUGAUGCAAGUCAGAAGUGAAAGCCCGGGGCUCAACUCCGGGACUGCUUUUGAAACUGUGUAACUGGAGUGCAGGAGAGGUAAGCGGAAUUCCUGGUGUAGCGGUGAAAUGCGUAGAUAUCAGGAGGAACACCAGUGGCGAAGGCGGCUUACUGGACUGUAACUGACGUUGAGGCUCGAAAGCGUGGGGAGCAAACAGGAUUAGAUACCCCUGUACG
This 447-nucleotide ribosomal RNA is filed under the name uncultured bacterium. RNAcentral describes it as "bacterial SSU rRNA". It matches the Rfam family "Bacterial small subunit ribosomal RNA", at positions 330 to 793 of the family's 1533-position model. The record is from RNAcentral.